RNAcentral lists this long non-coding RNA (1876 nucleotides) under Chinchilla lanigera (long-tailed chinchilla). RNAcentral describes it as "lncRNA (ENSCLAG00000024343.1)". The record is from RNAcentral. Lineage: Eukaryota; Metazoa; Chordata; Mammalia; Rodentia; Chinchillidae.
GCAGGCAGUAAAAGUGAGAUGCCACUGAACUUGAGCCUUGAGCUAACUUACAUGGAGUUUGAGUACAAGAUCAAUCCAGACUGCUAUGUUUAUUAUCCCAGGAAUUUUAUAAGGGCAAAUCUGCUUACCUGCAAGCCACUGGAAGGACCCAGGUGGUGAUAUUCCAGGGAUCCAGCCCCUGGCUCCCUGAUGCUCAGUUCUUUCUGCCUGUGAUGAAAGAUUUCAGGCAAGAUGCAGAGACUGCCAUGCAGAAGGACAGAGAGAGUUCGUUGUAAAGACACAGAGAGAUGUACGCCUUCAAGCAAGAACAUGAGAUAAAGGAAGAAAAACGCAGGCGCUCCCCCUCAUGCCUCCUUCGCCCAGCCUGUUGCUGUCCCUCCUGGUUCUCUUGUGGUGAAUGUGGUACCCAAGUGCACCCAAGUGCUGGUAAGAGCAAGACAGAUCAUCGAAACGCAGAGGCAGCUCUUCUCCCACUGCAACAUUUGUUCUGCCACUUGCACGUUUCAUAUCUUGUUAGUUCUAGAGUCUCAUUUAUAAUUUGUCUUUUCCCAUUAGGUUGAAAACUGACGAGGAUGGAAUUAGAUGGUUCUUAAAUUCUGCUCCCUGCAAUCCUGGAUACUCCACUGGUCCAAAAGGCCCAAUCGAGGGGACAGGAGCAGCUCCAGCUCCCCUAAAUCCAUAAUCAUGAUUCCAUGACUUAUGUUCCAAAGAAAAGAAAAAAAAAAAAAAACCUGUCUAUCAAUCAAUAUCCAUACUCCUGGAGUUAUGUCCUACUUCGUAUUGUCUUGGGAAGCACCUCAAGUGGUAUACUGACUAUAACACAAGCUGACAACCUCAAUAAAUGUCAGUUGUUGUGUAUUUGCCUUGUGUUACCUACUGUUUCUAUAAUCAUUUCUCACUUUGCAUAAGAACUGUCUCAUGGACCACAAUCCUUUUGCAAAAGUUAACCAUUAAUUUAUAAUUCACACAAAUGUACAUUUUCAUAUAUUUGAUAUGCUUAAAACAUAUCUAUACUGGUACAUUUAGGGAACAGAGACAAAACAGAUCAUCACUGCAAAGGAGAGAUGAGUCAAGUAAUAUUAAAUCUCUGUGUCAGUAACUUCUUUGCUCAGGCAUUUGUAUUGUCCCUACAAUCCCUAACUAGUCACUUAUCAGGCACUUGUGCAUGUAAAUACCCAAGAAUUUGUAUUCUCCCAUUUGUAUUCUUCAUUAUAGGCCAUAGACGCCUGUACCUCAAGCCUUCUCAAAUCAGACAACCUUGAUUUUGACUGAGGCCCAAUUCCUAUCAAAAGCCUAUUUUCUCCUUUAUUUUUAAAAUUAAUCUUUUAAUUGGCAAAUAAAAUUGUAUAUAUUUGUGGUGUGGAAUAUGAUGCUUUGAAAUAUGUGUGUGUGGUGGAAUGGCAAAUUGAGUUAACAUAUGCACUACCUCACACAUUACCAUCUUCCCAAGGGAGGGCACAGAAUCUCCUGACUUUCAAUUAUACAACCCACUGUCAUUAGCUACAGUCACCAUGGUGUAUCUUUUGACCAACAUCUCUCUAAUCCCCAUCCCUGGGCCCUGGUAACCACUAGUCUACUUUCUGCUUCUGGGAGUUUCAACUUUCUUAGAUUACACAUGUAAGUAGAAUCAGGAAGUGUUCGUUUUUCUGCAUUUGGCUUGUUACUCUUAAUGUAAUGUCCUUAUCCAUGUUAUUGCAAAUCACAGAAUUUUUUUCAAAAGUUACAGUGAUGGAAGGCAAUAGAUUCAUUUCUAUACAUCUCCCUAAGUCAUAUGUUGAAUUACAUUAAACCAUCAGAAAAAAAGCACACAAGGAUCUUACUAUCUGUCCCACUAUUAUUUCAUAAACUUUCAUCAAAGGCUACUAUAACAAAGAAU